This is a non-coding RNA of Daucus carota subsp. sativus, 73 nucleotides long. The record is from Rfam. NCBI's taxonomy places the organism in Eukaryota, Viridiplantae, Streptophyta, Magnoliopsida, Apiales, Apiaceae.
AAAUCAAUUGAUGAAAAAAUAACUGCAACAAUAUGAAUCUCUGUGAUUCUUAGUAUUUAAGUCUCUGAUGAUU